This 479-nucleotide ribosomal RNA is filed under the name uncultured bacterium. Its description in RNAcentral is "partial 16S ribosomal RNA". It matches the Rfam family "Bacterial small subunit ribosomal RNA", at positions 28 to 507 of the family's 1533-position model. The record is from RNAcentral.
GAUGAACGCUAGCGGGAGGCCUAACACAUGCAAGCCGAGCGGUAUUGUUUCUUCGGAAAUGAGAGAGCGGCGUACGGGUGCGUAACACGUGUGCAACCUGCCUUUAUCUGGGGGAUAGCCUUUCGAAAGGAAGAUUAAUACUCCAUAAUAUAUUGAACGGCAUCGUUUAAUAUUGAAAGCUCCGGCGGAUAGAGAUGGGCACGCGCAAGAUUAGCUAGUUGGUGAGGUAACGGCUCACCAAGGCGAUGAUCUUUAGGGGGCCUGAGAGGGCGAUCCCCCACACUGGUACUGAGACACGGACCAGACUCCUACGGGAGGCAGCAGUGAGGAAUAUUGGUCAAUGGGUGCAAGCCUGAACCAGCCAUCCCGCGUGAAGGACGACUGCCCUAUGGGUUGUAAACUUCUUUUGUAUAGGGAUAAACCUACCCUCGAGAGGGUAGCUGAAGGUACUAUACGAAUAAGCACCGGCUAACUCCGUG